CUCUUUCUUUGUCUCUGCCUGGGUCCUGAGGCCGGCUGUCAGUCGUUCUCUCCGCGGCGGAUCCGCUUUGGGUGUGUGAAAGCCUGUCCCACGUGAGGAGAUGCGUUGCUCCCGGAGCAACUGAAAUCUCAUCCCCGUCCUGAGCGGCCUCUUUUCUAGUAUCAGGAUGAACACACUGCAGCCGAGGACAAGAGCCCCAGAGGAACUCUUUGUCCCACAGGAGAGCAGCGGAUCCACGCCAGAGAAGACGCUUGUAUAUUUUCACGGCUCUUCUCUGAGGAAUGAAGCCACUCCACGAUACAGUCAGCAAGAGGAAGCCGGGAAUGGGAGAUGGCAACAAUCCCUGUCACUGGAACGCUGGCCUCUCUGGACAAGCCACCCUUUUGGAACCCCACCCCUUACGCCCGUGGCGGUGGCACGGUGCUGUAUCCUGCCUGGUCUCUGGCCUCUGCUCUCUCCUCCCUCUGGCUCUGCCUCCACUGUUUCUCAGGGGCCUGGAUGCCUCUUGCUCUUGCCUAAUGCCUUCAACAAAGAUGACUUCCCAGUCCAUCAGGGAGACACUUCCUGGAGGUCCGUGUCAUGAUCGUUUCUCUCUCCAAACCUUUUUCUGCUUAAUUGGGCAGGUAUCAUGACCCGGGAGCUCUUGGCUUCCAUAGGUGUCUCAGGCAGGGAAGCUUCCUUCUUCCCCACGUUUCCCCUCAUGGGUGGGUGGAUUGCCUAGAAUGAGCGCUAGGAGACCGUGACUGGCCUUGUCUUCCAGGACAGGUGGUGUCCCAUUUCCUCUGCAUUUCCUGUCUCAUUCUUGAGGGACAUCCUCUCCUCUGCUCCUGGGUGGCCUGACUCCCUUGAUCUUCUGGAAGAGCUGAUGUGGGCUUGAAGCCUCAGCUGUGAUAAUAAGAACACAGUGACUCAUGACUACGUCUUGACUGAAAUGCAGGCCUUGAAUCUAAUCAUUAUGUUGAAAAGAGGUGUUGAGCCUACGAAAUGAAGGCAUGUCUGGAAAGAGACACAGCAAUAUGUUACAGCCAAACUGUAACCUAAAUCCCAUGAACGCAUGUCAUCCCACCUGCUAUUCGUUUCUUUCAGAGCUGUCACCCAGUGAUCUACAAAUGAGAAAGGGGAGCAACAGCUUUGUAAAGAAAUGCUACCUUUUGGGGAGUGAAGGCAGCUAUGUGGCUGAUACCUCAUGCUCCUUGUGUUAUUUCCACCCCUUCGGUGGUACUCCAUGAAUUUCACCCCACAUCUGAGAAAUGGCUGGUUCAGCAAGCUAACAGCACACGCAUCCUACUCUUUUCUAUUUUAACCAAAAAAAUUCCUAAGUGGUAUUCCUUAAAUCUUGAGCAAUUAUGAUUCCUUAAAUCUUGAGCAAAUCUUGAGAAAACUGUGUCCUACUAAAAUUAAAAGGUAUUCUCCUGGGAAGUGGGCCCUAUGUCUAUUAAACAUACUUAGCAAAAUCUCUUGCUGUGUCGGUAUUUCCAGAAGGUCCUUAGCACUCACCAGGAACAGUGGUUGCCUCUAGGAAUGAAAUGGGAUGAUGGAAGACCUGGGGAGCCGUGUCAGGAGGAGACACUCAUGAUGCGCCUUUUGGCCAUAGUCACUGUCAUGGCUAAGAAAGCAACUCCAACCCACACACUGCAAAUAUGAAGGACCACGAAAGGCACGCAGGCUCUGGUUUGCGUAGUGAAGAUGAGCGACCGUGUUCCUAAGCAUGAAGGACCACGAAAGGCACGCAGGCUCUGGUUUGCGUAGUGAAGAUGAGCGUCCGUGUUCCUAAGCAUGAAGGAGGACCACAUGAGUAUCCUGGACACCUACUGCAUGAAUGUAUUCGCCCUUUCAGGUCUAGGGACCUGGUAACCAUUUAUUAUUUGUACUCUGAUUUUCUUCCAUUUCUGUCUCCAGUCCAUAAAUGUAACUUAAGUGACUUAUUAACACUGAUGGUUUGAUCACCAAUAGCAAGUUCCAGUUUCAGUCUUAGUGUAGGUGCCCUUAUUACAGACUUGAGAUAAAGUCCAGGGCUAACCACUCUUACAAAUUUACACUUUGCUAAAGGGUACCUUGGGACAGAGGGAGUGCAGAGCAGAGAAAACCUACCUGUGCAACUGAGAAGGCCGCUCAGGCCACGGGGACAGGGCAGGAAUGCUCUCAGGAGUGUCCCCUGCACCUGAACUUGAUUUCACGCCAUCACCUUCCGCCUCUUAACCAGCAUCUCCUGGACAGUCAGCCGAGUGUUUCCAUGAUACCAGCCAUACCUGAUGCCAGGAGACUCGCUACACUUGGAAGCUCUUCAAGGCAUGCUUAUCUUUGUGAACUGAAUCUUGGAGAAGGAGGAUUGAAAAUAAGAGCUAUCUUUGAGGCUCUAACACCUACAAGAGACACCCUCCCUCUCCACCGUGGAUCACCUGUCUCACCCAUGUGAGUCUCCACACAGAAACCAGUCAUGGCCCUGCCUUUGCCCCCCUUGAAAUCACCCAAGAGGAUGCUUCAAACUCAGGCAAGCACAACUGAUACUCACUCUGCAUGCGACAGCAGGGGAGUGACCUUACAAGAAACUAAUGGGUCUCGCUUCCUGAGAAUCACUGUCAGAGCCCGUAACAUAAGAUAAAUCACAGCCAAGGAUUUUUGAAAAGUUUCCUGAUGAGAGAACCAUGACCUUUUCAAGGGUAGUGAUGGAUUGAUCAGGGCAAGCAAUAGGUAGAUUUUUUAAAACAAGCCUGGCAAAAAAACAAUGAUAUAUAUCUACCAAAGUUGGCUAGAAUACCUGGCUGAUAUCCCAGUCAGGAAACAUAGGAAAAGGUUACAUCCGUAGAAAAAAAAACCAGCUUGUUAAGCAAAACAAUGCAGUUAAAAACCAAGCUCACUGUAAGAAAUGCCACGUGGGCCAGUGGGGACGGCCAUGCCGAAAGCGCUCAGUGCUCCUGAAGCUGGGUGGCAGGUGUUUUCACACACAAAGGCCUUCCUUGCUGGGGCCAUGGGAUAAGCCUUUGAGUGGAGACUAGCAAGGAGCUUUGAAGUCUGCAUUGGGGGUGGAAGGUGGCAAUCCCAUUAGACAGCUCUCCCUGGUGUGAAUUUAUGAAGCCCCAUGCAGACUGUGACUUUUAAAAUAAUCACUUAGUUGGUUUUAGCACAUAUCGCAGGUUUCAUUACAGGCUGCCCCUUAACGAGCAUUGUAACCUGGAGGAAAGAAUCCAAAUUCUUUAGUGACCACCUAACUCCACAUUCAUUACCCUGUUGCCCAGGGUGGAGUCCAAAAGCAGCAACUAUGUUUAUUUCUCCAUAGAAAACAAACGUUCACCAAGGCACGUCUGUUCUAUUACUUUUUUAUUCUUAACUAGACCGUUAAUAUAAUUGUUGGUUGCAUUGAUUUCAACUUCCCCACACGAUGCAAUCGGCUUUCUGCCGUAUUUCAAUCACACUAACCAAGAGAGACAUCAGACGUUCAAAAUAGACUCUGGACCAAAACCGAGGGCAGGGGAGAGGUGAGCGGGCCAGGCACAGCUCUGCUGAAGCACUGGUUUGACAUGUCGAGUUGAAGUGUUUCUACUCAAAACACCUGUCUCCCUGCCAAGGUGAAGGCUAGAUGGUAAAAAAGAAAGUUCCCUUUUUUCUGAUAAACUAGGCUCUCUCCAUAGGAAGUGCCCUGAAGGCCCCCAGCUCCGACUCCGAGAGCAGAGCCCAGACUCUCCUACUUUGAACGGACAUGAGCUCUAUGCCUCUUGGGGUUUCUCUGCCUGCCCAGUCACCCUGGAUAACGUGCUUGCCCUAGAUUGUCUCCUAGGCCAAGUCCUCUCCAAGUUCUUGGCCCUUUGUCCU
Long non-coding RNA from Gorilla gorilla gorilla (western lowland gorilla), 3810 nucleotides. RefSeq lists it as uncharacterized. NCBI's taxonomy places the organism in Eukaryota, Metazoa, Chordata, Mammalia, Primates, Hominidae. The record is from RefSeq and is a predicted model, not a curated record. The transcript has 3 exons.